GUACACUCCUGCGGGAGGCAGCAGUGGGGAAUUUUGGACAAUGGGCGAAAGCCUGAUCCAGCCAUGCCGCGUGCAGGAUGAAGGCCUUCGGGUUGUAAACUGCUUUUGUACGGAACGAAACGGCCUUUUCUAAUAAAGAGGGCUAAUGACGGUACCGUAAGAAUAAGCACCGGCUAACUACGUGCCAGCAGCCGCGGUAAUACGUAGGGUGCAAGCGUUAAUCGGAAUUACUGGGCGUAAAGCGUGCGCAGGCGGUUAUGUAAGACAGUUGUGAAAUCCCCGGGCUCAACCUGGGAACUGCAUCUGUGACUGCAUAGCUAGAGUACGGUAGAGGGGGAUGGAAUUCCGCGUGUAGCAGUGAAAUGCGUAGAUAUGCGGAGGAACACCGAUGGCGAAGGCAAUCCCCUGGACCUGUACUGACGCUCAUGCACGAAAGCGUGGGGAGCAAACAGGAUGAUAAACCCCAGUAGUCCCAUGA
Molecule: ribosomal RNA, 478 nt
Filed under: uncultured organism
Description: partial 16S ribosomal RNA
Rfam family: Bacterial small subunit ribosomal RNA
Source: RNAcentral